UGGGCAUCUAAACGGCAUGGUCCUUCCAGAGGAAAUUCUGCUGGCAGACAGGUACCAACUCUAGGAGAUCCUACUGAAACAGAAGAUGUCAUUGAAGAGAAGACUGCUCUCCAUGUUGCUGUGCUGUGUAUAUUGCGUGGCCUCUCUCUUCUGUCUACAUCCCAACCGAAACAACUGUGUCUCCCUGGGUGCCCGGAACUUGGUGACAGUUGCACAGCAGUUGUACCAGCGUGUGAUGAGGAUGCUCCGAACCACACUCUAAACCUGGGGGACAGAAUUUAUUCCGGGCAACUAAACUGGCACAGCACCCUGUCUCCUCUGCACAGACUCCGACAUUGCCUAGACAGAGGCCAGGAACUGCAAAUAUGGAUUUAUGGAACAUUACACCAUGUGACUAAAGAUCUACUGACAGAUGCUUCUGGACUAUAAAAUAUCUUUGGUGAUGAACAAUAGAUCAAAAUAACAAAGGAAAAAAAACAUUUUAAAAAAAUGAAUUAAUAGCUUUAUCUGACUGUGAAAGGUUAUUUUUUUUAAUCAAAAUAUCUUCCAGACUUUACAAUGCUUGUUUAAGAGAAGGCCAUUAAUGCAAGAGCUUAAAAUUAUUACUAAGUGUUACAGUAUUAUCUAUCCCAAACUGGACUAGCUGAUUUUUACUGGUCUGAAUACUGCUUGAUUUGCCACUGGGCCACUGACUGUAUGCAGAGCAAUGAUGAAUCAAAAUAAAAUGUGAAUGAAAUAUACAACAAUGCACAUUAUUGUGAAAAUAUAAACUGUGGUUUAUUUAUAUCUUAGGCAAAAGUGUCUCUAUUAAUAUAAGCUGGAUGGUAGGCUAUAGAGUGUGGAUAUAUUAUAAACAACCUGUGCACUUUACAUUUAAGUGGCCGACUUUCAGUUGAUCUGUUUCAUGUUGUGCCCACUGAGUAGGCCAUGCUGCGU
This is a long non-coding RNA of Sardina pilchardus (European sardine), 936 nucleotides long. RefSeq lists it as uncharacterized. Lineage: Eukaryota; Metazoa; Chordata; Actinopteri; Clupeiformes; Clupeidae. The transcript has 3 exons. The record is from RefSeq and is a predicted model, not a curated record.